UGACAUCUCCGGCAUUUGCAGGAGGUUCACUCUUUCCAGUUCAUCCAAGGUUGAUCUUGCGUCUCCGUCAGGUGCUACACAGAGUAAUAGAAGAGCUAAACUCUACUGCUUCCUGAACACAUUCCUGCCACAGGACCUUUGCAAUGACUGCUGCCGACCUGAAACGGUCUUUGUUCCGACAUGUGCCUGGCUCUCUUCCUCACCUCCUUCACGUGUUUGCUAGAACGCUACCUCCUAUGUGAGUCCCUCCCUGACCCUGCUGCUUAAAAAUUGCAACAAAGCUGCCCACAACCUUAA
Molecule: long non-coding RNA, 297 nt
Organism: Leopardus geoffroyi (Geoffroy's cat)
Lineage: Eukaryota; Metazoa; Chordata; Mammalia; Carnivora; Felidae
Exons: 2
Source: RefSeq, a predicted model, not a curated record